GUGUAGCAGUCGAGAAACUUUACAAUGUGCGAAAGCACGAUAAGGGAACUCUGAGUGCCUCCUAAGGAGGCUUGUUCAGGUGUCUAAAAGCACCUGAAGGAAGGGCUGGGUAAGACCGGUGCCAGCCGCCGCGGUAACACCGGCAGCCCAAGUGGUAGCCCACGUUUAUGGGUCUAAAGCGUCCGUAGCCGGCUGGGUAAGUUCCUUGGGAAAUUUGGCUGCUUAACAGUCAAGCUUUCA
This 240-nucleotide ribosomal RNA is filed under the name uncultured microorganism. Its description in RNAcentral is "partial 16S ribosomal RNA". It matches the Rfam family "Archaeal small subunit ribosomal RNA", at positions 330 to 576 of the family's 1478-position model. The record is from RNAcentral.